Non-coding RNA from Triticum urartu, 937 nucleotides. Lineage: Eukaryota; Viridiplantae; Streptophyta; Magnoliopsida; Poales; Poaceae. The record is from RefSeq and is a predicted model, not a curated record.
CGCAAUCCCCGCCACCAGGAUCCUCCGCCUCCCGUGCAUCUUCCUCCUGACUUCCCAGCGUCGCCCCGUUGGCCUCCUCCCGCCUCACCACCGCCAUCCUCGCGCAGCCCGGCCGCUGGCCUACUCCUGCAGCCCCGCCUGAUCCAGCACCACCAGCUACCGCCGUGCGCACCACCCAAGCCAACAGUGGGGUGCUAUAGGCAGGCGGCGGUGUGUGUGGGUGGUCGGGUGGUGUGGGAAUGACCCUACUGCCAUGGGCCUCGCCGCCGUAGCUGGCUGCCCCACCUCCACGACCACCCCAGCCGUCGUCGCGUGUGUGCUUGUUGGAGGCUAAGAGCUGCAAGAGAGGAGAGAUCGUGGCCACCUCGACCACUAGCAGCAGCUUCUGCUGCCACCACCGGAGUGUCAUGGCCGACACAGGUUGCCGUCGUCGUCAUACACGUGCGGCAAAACUCCACUGCAUCGCAUCUGUUUGUGUCUGUCAUCUGAAAAACGGCCAUUGUUGCAGGUCGGCAUCACCUGAUGCACCAGUUCAGCUGCAAAAAAAGAGCAGUAUACGUUGUUGUCUACUCCACUCACUUGUUGAAAUAAAAAAUCCAGCCGGAUCUUGCUACACACAAGGAAGAAAUAGAGAAGAAGCAAAGCAUAGAUCGACCGCUGUUGGUCCACGCCGUGCGCGCCACCCAUGCCGACUGCUGCCUACUGCAACACGUCUUCACCUCCCGCGCAUCUGAUCUGCGCGUCCGUCACCGCCACCGCAACCGCGGUGUGCGGCAGCCGACUCUGGCGAGCUUGUGAACCUGUGAAUCCUACCGUCGCUAAUUUUGUUGUUAUUCACCAUCGCAUAGCUGCACAACAUUCAUUGCAGGCCGAGAAAAAUUCUUGUGGCAGAUACAAAAAAAUGCUUGCGUCAAGUAUAAAAAAUGCUUGUGGAAGA